UACAGAGGUCUCAAGCGUUGUUCGGAUUCAUUGGGCGUAAAGGGUGCGUAGGUGGUCUGCUAAGUCAGACGUGAAAUCCCUCAGCUUAACUGGGGAACUGCGUCUGAUACUGGCGGACUUGAGGACAGGAGAGGAACGCGGAAUUCCAGGUGUAGAGGUGAAAUUCGUAGAUAUUCGCAAGAACACCAGUGGCGAAGGCGGCUCACUGGCCCGAUACCGACGCUGAGGCACGAAAGCGUGGGGAGCAAACAGG
RNAcentral lists this ribosomal RNA (253 nucleotides) under uncultured bacterium. Its description in RNAcentral is "partial 16S ribosomal RNA". It matches the Rfam family "Bacterial small subunit ribosomal RNA", at positions 524 to 776 of the family's 1533-position model. The record is from RNAcentral.